GAUGAACGCUGGCGGCGUGCUUAGCACAUGCAAGUCGAACGAUGAAGCCCAGCUUGCUGGGUGGAUUAGUGGCGAACGGGUGAGUAACACGUGAGUAACCUGCCCUUAACUCUGGGAUAAGCCUGGGAAACUGGGUCUAAUACCGGAUAGGAGCGUCCACCGCAUGGUGGGUGUUGGAAAGAUUUAUCGGUUUUGGAUGGACUCGCGGCCUAUCAGCUUGUUGGUGAGGUAAUGGCUCACCAAGGCGACGACGGGUAGCCGGCCUGAGAGGGUGACCGGCCACACUGGGACUGAGACACGGCCCAGACUCCUACGGGAGGCAGCAGUGGGGAAUAUUGCACAAUGGGCGAAAGCCUGAUGCAGCGACGCCGCGUGAGGGAUGACGGCCUUCGGGUUGUAAACCUCUUUCAGUAGGGAAGAAGCGAAAGUGACGGUACCUGCAGAAGAAGCACCGGCUAACUACGUG
This 466-nucleotide ribosomal RNA is filed under the name uncultured bacterium. RNAcentral describes it as "partial 16S ribosomal RNA". It matches the Rfam family "Bacterial small subunit ribosomal RNA", at positions 28 to 507 of the family's 1533-position model. The record is from RNAcentral.